This 497-nucleotide ribosomal RNA is filed under the name uncultured bacterium. Its description in RNAcentral is "partial 16S ribosomal RNA". It matches the Rfam family "Bacterial small subunit ribosomal RNA", at positions 28 to 507 of the family's 1533-position model. The record is from RNAcentral.
GAUGAACGCUGGCGGCGUGCCUAAUACAUGCAAGUCGAGCGGACGGACGAGGAGCUUGCUCCUCUGACGUUAGCGGCGGACGGGUGAGUAACACGUGGAUAACCUACCUAUAAGACUGGGAUAACUUCGGGAAACCGGCGCUAAUACCGGAUAAUAUAUUGAACCGCAUGGUUCAAUAGUGAAAGACGGUUUUGCUGUCACUUAUAGAUGGAUCCGCGCCGCAUUAGCUAGUUGGUAAGGUAACGGCUUACCAAGGCGACGAUGCGUAGCCGACCUGAGAGGGGGAUAGGCGACACUGGAACGGAGACACGGUCCAUACUCCUACGGGAGGCAGCAGUAGGGAAUCUGCCGCAAUGGGCGAAAGCUUGACGGAGCAACGCCGCGUGAGUGAUGAAGGUCUUCGGAGCGUAAAACUCUGUUAUGAGGGAAGAACAAAUGUGUAAGUAACUAUGCACGUCUUGACGGUACCUAAUCAGAAAGCCACGGCUAACUACGUG